CGGGGUGAGUAACGCGUGGGUAACCUGCCUCAUACAGGGGAUAACAGUUAGAAAUGACUGCUAAUACCGCAUAAGCGCACAGUGCUGCAUGGCACAGUGUGAAAAACUCCGGUGGUAUGAGAUGGACCCGCGUCUGAUUAGCUAGUUGGUGGGGUAACGGCCUACCAAGGCGACGAUCAGUAGCCGGCCUAAGAGGGUGAACGGCCACAUUGGGACUGAGACACGGCCCAA
RNAcentral lists this ribosomal RNA (231 nucleotides) under uncultured bacterium. Its description in RNAcentral is "partial 16S ribosomal RNA". It matches the Rfam family "Bacterial small subunit ribosomal RNA", at positions 104 to 334 of the family's 1533-position model. The record is from RNAcentral.